GGGCCAACGAACAGGCGCUGGCGUCCGGCCUGAUCCUCAUCACCGGGGGCAUCGUGGCCACAGCUGGGCGCUUCACCCAGUGGUACUUUGGUGCCUACUCCAUUGUGGCGGGCGUGUUUGUGUGCCUGCUGGAGUACCCCCGGGGGAAGAGGAAGAAGGGCUCCACCAUGGAGCGCUGGGGACAGAAGUACAUGACCGCCGUGGUGAAGCUGUUCGGGCCCUUUACCAGGAAUUACUAUGUUCGGGCCGUCCUGCAUCUCCUGUGAGUCCCCGUCCCGCACCCCCUCUAGGGCUCAGGAGGGCUUGGAGCCGACCCUCCCCACUGUCCCACCGGCCGGGCUGCCUGGACAGGAGCCACCCCCACUUACCUCAGUGUUUUUCCAAACAAAAAUUCGGGUCCCUGGCUCUGGCAGGGCCUGUGUCUGCUGUCUAGUGUGCAGGAUUUGUAAGGAUCCACUCCAAAUCCGAGGAGCUCCGAUCCGUCGCCAGGGUCUGGGGUCAGCAUGCACUGCUGGGGGGUCUUGCCUGGGCUUCCUGGUAGGGUGGAGGGUUCCGUGCUGUGUGUCUGCUGGUUACUGCCGGCUGAGGCCAGGACACCCACACGUGGCUGCUUCCUCCGAGCAAGUGCACCAGAGCCGCUAGUGUCCACAUCAAGGCUGAGAACACCCAGGACCGAAACAAGCCCCGGUCCGCGCACGUCCCCUGGGUCUGCAGUCUGCCUUGUCCUGAGACUUUGUGGCCUUGGCCCCCAGACCUGGGGCUCCGUUCCCCUUUCUGAGUGCCCUUCUGUGUCCCUGCCUCUCACCCGCUGUCCCCCAGGCUCUCGGUGCCCGCCGGCUUCCUGCUGGCCACCAUCCUUGGGACCGCCUGCCUGGCCAUUGCGAGCGGCAUCUACCUACUGGUGAGUGGCGCCCUCUGAGGUCGGCCCCGGCCACCCCCAUCCCCAGCCCCUGCCCUGACACCCUCGGACACGCAUGGCCCUUGAAGCCGGCUCUGUAGGCUGAGCCAAGGCUGGGAGCAAGUGUGAGCCUGGGCGUGUGCUCACAGCACGG
Molecule: long non-coding RNA, 1052 nt
Filed under: Homo sapiens (human)
Lineage: Eukaryota; Metazoa; Chordata; Mammalia; Primates; Hominidae
Description: non-protein coding lnc-MVD-1:2
Source: RNAcentral